Papaver somniferum (opium poppy) is the source of this 1150-nucleotide long non-coding RNA. RefSeq lists it as uncharacterized. The transcript has 8 exons. The record is from RefSeq and is a predicted model, not a curated record. NCBI's taxonomy places the organism in Eukaryota, Viridiplantae, Streptophyta, Magnoliopsida, Ranunculales, Papaveraceae.
UGUUUUCUAUCCCUUCCAUCAUCGAGAAAACUCAUUUCUCUGUUCACUCUCUCUUUCUUUUUUCCUCCUCCCCUUCAGCUCUUCUCAUCCGUUAAUCAUUAAUCGAUCUGUUCAUUCAAUCUGUUAAGAGAUUUAGGGUUAAUCGAUAUCUUUCUUACACCAGUUUCGAUCUGUGGUUUUAUUUGUUGAAGAACUGAAGAAAUUUGAAGAUCUGAUAUGAAAUCUCAUCUUAGAAGGGUUUGAAAGACUGAAGAAUUGAAGUUGAAGUUUGGUCAUCGGAGUUUGAACUUGGAAGUUGGAACUUGAAAAACUAAGCAGAUUUAUGGUCUGGCACCCAUUCGGCGUGUUUUGGAUGACUUGGAAAGUGAUGAGUUGACCCUUGCUUCCGACCAAGUUGUAAAAACCUAGCUACCUGGUUUGCUGAAGUGUAUGUAGGUGCAACUCGAAAUACUUAUAUACAUCAGAGGGCAUCAGGUCUUUUCGACUUUUGCCAUCAGUGGUGGACUGGGAAAAGUAACAAGAUGCAGGGGAAGGCCUGUAGUUCAAGUGUGCUGUAGAAAAAUGUAUAAAAAAGAAUUACUAUUUCUUGUAAAUUUUUAUUUAUUUUUUAAGGACUGGGAAAUACGUAUAUACAUCAGAGGGCAUCAGGUAAAUGGCUUGUUCUUUAUUACAAAACCACUGUAAGUAUUUCUCAUUGUUCUUUUCCCCAACUGAUAUUUUUUUGUAAUUUCAUCCCUAUGUGGUAUGACAUCUUAGUUUUGUCUGCUUUUAACAUAGGUUGGUAUAUAUGCUUAUGAUUCAGAGAGUGAAAUGACGACAACUCUUUAUGGAUUGGAAUUAUGAACUUAAAGCAAGGGAUGAAGGGGUUGAUUUGUCAUCUGGGAUCGUUAAUUGGAUGAUUCUCUGCUGCAACAAGUUUGGAGCAAAAAGGUUGGAGAACAAGGCAGACAUUAGGUUGCAGUAAGUUUCUAUGUACAUUCUAAGUUAAAUGAAUUUGUGAACAUAGGAAUUUCUAUGAACUGAUACUUGGUAUAUAUCCCUUGGUAUUUGUUACUUAACAAAAAAAAAUUGUACUUAGAAGAAUUUAAGUUCUUUUUGUAUGAAUCUUUUGUGUGAAUCCAUUUGAAUGUGAUAAGAAUUGAUUGAAAGU